GACGAACGCUGGCGGCGUGCUUAACACAUGCAAGUCGAACGAUGAAGCCGGAGCUUGCUCUGGUGAAUUAGUGGCGAACGGGUGAGUAACACGUGAGUAACCUGCCCUUGACUCUGGGAUAACUGCUAGAAAUGGUAGCUAAUACCGGAUACGACCCUCGGAGGCAUCUCCAGGGGGUGGAAAGAAUUUCGGUCAAGGAUGGACUCGCGGCCUAUCAGCUAGUUGGUGAAGUAACGGCUCACCAAGGCGACGACGGGUAGCCGGCCUGAGAGGGUGCCCGGCCACACUGGGACUGAGACACUGCCCAGACUCCUACGGGAGGCAGCAGUGGGGAAUAUUGCACAAUGGGCGCAAGCCUGAUGCAGCAACGCCGCGUGAGGGAUGACGGCCUUCGGGUUGUAAACCUCUUUUAGUAGGGAAGAAGCGAAAGUGACGGUACCUGCAGAAAAAGCACCGGCUAACUACGUGCCAGCCGCCGCGGUAA
Molecule: ribosomal RNA, 484 nt
Filed under: uncultured bacterium
Lineage: Bacteria
Description: partial 16S ribosomal RNA
Rfam family: Bacterial small subunit ribosomal RNA
Source: RNAcentral